This 301-nucleotide ribosomal RNA is filed under the name uncultured bacterium. Its description in RNAcentral is "partial 16S ribosomal RNA". It matches the Rfam family "Bacterial small subunit ribosomal RNA", at positions 509 to 807 of the family's 1533-position model. The record is from RNAcentral.
CAGUAGCCGCGGUAAUACGUAGGGUGCAAGCGUUAAUCGGAAUUACUGGGCGUAAAGCGUGCGCAGGCGGUUAUAUAAGUCAGAUGCGAAAUCCCCGGGCUCAACCUGGGAAUUGCAUUUGAGACUGUAUGGCUAGAGUGUGUCAGAGGGGGGUAGAAUUCCACGUGUAGCAGUGAAAUGCGUAGAUAUGUGGAGGAAUACCGAUGGCGAAGGCAGCCCCCUGGGAUAACACUGACGCUCAUGCACGAAAGCGUGGGGAGCAAACAGGAUUAGAGACCCGCGUAGUCCCUGUCUCUUAUAC